GCUUGAAUAGUUUAGGUAGAAUAAUAAUUUGUGGUGUUAUAGGUGUAUUUAUACUUCAAGUC
RNAcentral lists this transfer RNA (62 nucleotides) under Ectomocoris horridus. RNAcentral describes it as "tRNA-His". Lineage: Eukaryota; Metazoa; Arthropoda; Insecta; Hemiptera; Reduviidae. The record is from RNAcentral.